Long non-coding RNA from Oncorhynchus tshawytscha (Chinook salmon), 1346 nucleotides. The record is from Ensembl. Lineage: Eukaryota; Metazoa; Chordata; Actinopteri; Salmoniformes; Salmonidae.
GUACCGGUACAGAGUCAAUGUGGAGACUAUAUACAGGGGGUACCGGUACAGAGUUAAUGUGGAGGCUAUAUACAGGGGGUACCGGUACAGAGUCAGUGUGGAGGCUAUAUACAGGGGGUACCGGUACAGAGUCAGUGUGGAGGCUAUAUACAGGGGGUACCGGUACAGAGUCAAUGUGGAGGCUAUAUACAGGGGGUACCGGUACAGAGUCAGUGUGGAGGCUAUAUACAGGGGGUACGGGUACAGAGUCAGUGUGGAGGCUAUAUACAGGGGGUACCGGUACAGAGUCAGUGUGGAGGCUAUAUACAGGGGGUACCGGUACAGAGUCAGUGUGGAGGCUAUAUACAGGGGUACCGGUACAGAGUCAGGGUGGAGGCUAUAUACAGGGGGUACCGGUACAGAGUCAGUGUAGAGGCUAUAUACAGGGGGGUACCGGUACAGAGUCAGUGUGGAGGCUAUAUACAGGGGGCUGGAGGCUAUAUACAGGGGGUACCGGUACAGAGUCAGUGUGGAGGCUAUAUACAGGGGGUGCUGGUACAGAGUCAAUGUGGAGGCUAUAUACAGGGGGUACCGGUACAGAGUCAGUGUGGAGGCUAUAUACAGGGGGUACGGGUACAGAGUCAAUGUGGAGGCUAUAUACAGGGGGUACCGGUACAGAGUCAAUGUGGAGGCUAUAUACAGGGGGUACCGGUACAGAGUCAAUGUGGAGGCUUUAUACAGGGGGUACCGGUACAGAGUCAAUGUGGAGGCUAUAUACAGGGGGUAUCGGUACAGAGUCAGUGUGGAGGCUAUAUACAGGGGGUACUGGUACAGAGUCAAUGUGGAGGCUAUAUACAGGCGGAGUACCGUUACAGAGUCAGUGUGGAGGCUAUAUACAGGGGGAUACUGGUACAGAGUCAGUGUGGAGGCUAUAUACAGGGGGGUACCGGUACAGAGUCAGUGUGGAGGCUAUAUACAGGGGGGGUACCGGUACAGAGUCAGUGUGGAGGCUAUAUACAGGGGGGUACCGGUACAGAGUCAGUGUGGGGGCUAUAUACAGGGGUACCGGUACAGAGUCAAUGUGGAGGCUAUAUACAGGGGGUACCGGUACAGAGUCAGUGUGGAGGCUAUAUACAGGGGGUACCGGUACAGAGUCAGUGUGGAGGCUAUAUACAGGGGGUACCGGUACAGAGUCAAUGUGGAGGCUAUAUACAGGGGGUACCGGUACAGAGUCAGUGUGGAGGCUAUAUACAGGGGGUACCGGUACAGAGUCAAUGUGGAGGCUAUAUACAGGGGGUACCGGUACAGAGUCAGUGUGGAGGCUAUAUACAGGGGGUACCGGUACAGAGUCAGUGUGGAGGCUAUAU